GCACAAACUCAAGCAGGAACUGACAGCGA
RNAcentral lists this non-coding RNA (29 nucleotides) under Mus musculus (house mouse). The record is from RNAcentral. Lineage: Eukaryota; Metazoa; Chordata; Mammalia; Rodentia; Muridae.